GAAAGCUUUUGCGGUAUGGGAUGAGCUCGCGGCCUAUCAGCUUGUUGGUGGGGUAAUGGCCUACCAAGGCGUCGACGGGUAGCCGGCCUGAGAGGGUGUACGGCCACAUUGGGACUGAGAUACGGCCCAGACUCCUACGGGAGGCAGCAGUGGGGAAUAUUGCACAAUGGGCGCAAGCCUGAUGCAGCGACGCCGCGUGGGGGAUGACGGCCUUCGGGUUGUAAACUCCUUUCGUCAGGGACGAAGCGAAAGUGACGGUACCUGGAUAAGAAGCACCGGCUAACUACGUGCCAGCAGCCGCGGUAAUACGUAGGGUGCGAGCGUUGUCCGGAAUUACUGGGCGUAAAGAGCUCGUAGGUGGUUUGUCGCGUCGUUUGUGUAAGUCCACGGCUUAACUGUGGGAUGGCAGGCGAUACGGGCAUAACUUGAGUGCUGUAGGGGAGACUGGAAUUCCUGGUGUAGCGGUGAAAUGCGCAGAUAUCAGGAGGAACACCGAUGGCGAAGGCAGGUCUCUGGGCAGUAACUGACGCUGAGGAGCGAAAGCAUGGGUAGCGAACAGGAUUAGAUACCCUGGUAGUCCAUGCCGUAAACGGUGGGCGCUAGGUGUGAGUCCCUUCCACGGGGUUCGUGCCGUAGCUAACGCAUUAAGCGCCCCGCCUGGGGAGUACGGCCGCAAGGCUAAAACUCAAAGGAAUUGACGGGGGCCCGCACAAGCGGCGGAGCAUGUGGAUUAAUUCGAUGCAACGCGAAGAACCUUACCUGGGCUUGACAUACACCAGAUCGGCGCAGAGAUGCGUUUUCCCUUGUGGUUGGUGUACAGGUGGUGCAUGGUUGUCGUCAGCUCGUGUCGUGAGAUGUUGGGUUAAGUCCCGCAACGAGCGCAACCCUUGUCUUAUGUUGCCAGCACGUGAUGGUGGGGACUCAUGAGAGACUGCCGGGGUUAACUCGGAGGAAGGUGGGGAUGACGUCAAAUCAUCAUGCCCCUUAUGUCCAGGGCUUCACACAUGCUACAAUGGUCGGUACAACGCGUGUGCGACACUGUGAGGUGAAGCUAAUCGCUCUAAAGCCGGU
This 1071-nucleotide ribosomal RNA is filed under the name Corynebacterium sp. RNAcentral's name for it is "bacterial SSU rRNA". It matches the Rfam family "Bacterial small subunit ribosomal RNA", at positions 202 to 1286 of the family's 1533-position model. Lineage: Bacteria; Bacillati; Actinomycetota; Actinomycetes; Mycobacteriales; Corynebacteriaceae. The record is from RNAcentral.